This 256-nucleotide ribosomal RNA is filed under the name Streptomyces sp. ISO129_OTU396. RNAcentral's name for it is "partial 16S ribosomal RNA". It matches the Rfam family "Bacterial small subunit ribosomal RNA", at positions 29 to 289 of the family's 1533-position model. RNAcentral also lists the same sequence under 9 other names. The record is from RNAcentral. Lineage: Bacteria; Bacillati; Actinomycetota; Actinomycetes; Kitasatosporales; Streptomycetaceae.
ACGAACGCUGGCGGCGUGCUUAACACAUGCAAGUCGAACGAUGAAGCCUUUCGGGGUGGAUUAGUGGCGAACGGGUGAGUAACACGUGGGCAAUCUGCCCUUCACUCUGGGACAAGCCCUGGAAACGGGGUCUAAUACCGGAUAAUACUCCUGCCUGCAUGGGUGGGGGUUAAAAGCUCCGGCGGUGAAGGAUGAGCCCGCGGCCUAUCAGCUUGUUGGUGAGGUAGUGGCUCACCAAGGCGACGACGGGUAGCCG